Molecule: long non-coding RNA, 1590 nt
Organism: Ctenopharyngodon idella (grass carp)
Lineage: Eukaryota; Metazoa; Chordata; Actinopteri; Cypriniformes; Xenocyprididae
Exons: 5
Source: RefSeq, a predicted model, not a curated record
AGUCCAAUUUUUCUGAAGAGACACAAUCGCUUUAUAUGAUGAACAGAUUUACUUUAGGCUUUUAUUCACAUAUAAACAUUGAUCAACGCACACAUCAGUUGUGGUAAACGGAAGCUUAAGCAUGUUUGCUUGAACCAAUGAGGUUCAUUCUCGUGUUACGCAGCACGUUUGAGCUUCCGCAAGAACCAAUGAGUUUCAUUCUCGUGUUACGCAGCACGUUUGAGCUUCCGCAAGAACCAAUGAGGUUCAUUCUCGUGUUACGCAGCACGUUUGAGCUUCCGUAAGGAUAAAUGAGGUUCAUCCUCGUGUUACGCAGCACGUUUGAGCUUCAACAAGAACCAAUGAGGUUCAUUCUCGUGUUACGCAGCACGUUUGAGCUUCCGCAAGAACCAAUGAGGUUCAUUCUCGUGUUACGCAGCACGUUUGAGCUUCAGCAAGAACCAAUGAGGUUCAUUCUCGUGUUACGCAGCACGUUUGAGCUUCCGCAAGAACCAAUGAGGUUCAUUCUCGUGUUACGCAGCACGUUUGAGCUUCCGUAAGGAUAAAUGAGGUUCAUUCUCGUGUUACGCAGCACGUUUGAGCUUAUAAGAGGACCAAGGAGGUUCAUUCUCGUGUUACGCAGCACGUUUGAGCUUCAACAAGAACCAAUGAGGUUCAUUCUCGUGUUACGCAGCACGUUUGAGCUUCCGCAAGAACCAAUGAGGUUCAUUCUCGUGUUACGCAGCACGUUUGAGCUUCCGCAAGAACCAAUGAGGUUCAUUCUCGUGUUACGCAGCACGUUUGAGCUUCUGUAAGGAUAAAUGAGGUUCAUCCUCGUGUUACGCAGCACGUUUGAGCUUCCGUAAGGAUCAAUGAGGUUCAUUCUCGUGUUACGCAGCACGUUUGAGCUUCUGUAAGGAUAAAUGAGGUUCAUCCUCGUGUUACGCAGCACGUUUGAGCUUCAACAAGAACUAAUGAGGUUCAUUUUCGUGUUACGCAGCACAUUUGAGCUUCAACAAGAACUAAUGAGGUUCAUUUUCGUGUUACGCAGCACGUUUGAGCUUCAACAAGAACCAAUGAGGUUCAUUCUUGUGUUACGCAGCACGUUUGAGCUUCCGUAAGGAUAAAUGAGGUUCAUCCUCGUGUUACGCAGCACGUUUGAGCUUCAACAAGAACCAAUGAGGUUCAUUCUCGUGUUACGCAGCACGUUUGAGCUUCAACAAGAACCAAUGAGGUUCAUUCUCGUGUUACGCAGCACGUUUGAGCUUCCGUAAGGAUAAAUUAGGUUCAUCCUCGUGUUACGCAGCACGUUUGAGCUUCAACAAGAACUAAUGAGGUUCAUUUUCGUGUUACGCAGCAUGUUUGAGCUUCAACAAGAGGUUUGUUCUCGCGCAUCAAGCAGGUUCGGUUGAGCUUGUUUAUGUUCGCUGAUCAAUGUUUAUAUGUAAAUAAAAGUCUAAAUUCAAUCUGUUCAUCAUAUAAAGCGAUUGAGUCUCUUCAGAAAAUUUGGACUAAACCACUCAAUUCAUAUGGAUUAGUUUUAUGAUCUCUUUAUGAACUUUUGGAAGCAUCAAAGUGUCAGUUGUGAAGGCAGUCUGUGGAGGGAUAGAA